Molecule: long non-coding RNA, 1187 nt
Filed under: Mus musculus (house mouse)
Lineage: Eukaryota; Metazoa; Chordata; Mammalia; Rodentia; Muridae
Description: long non-coding RNA chr5:102276399-102277586
Source: RNAcentral
CUGAGCCAUCUCUCCAGCCCACUUUCUGGAUAUUAUGAAUAAAGCUGAUAUGAAUAUAGUUGAGCAAGUAUCCUUGUGGUAUGAUAGAACAUCUUUUCAAUAUAUAUGCCCAGGAGUGGUAUAGCUGGGUCUUGAGGUAAAACUAUUCCCAAUUUUCAGAGAAACCACAAAUUUUAUUUCCAAAGUGGUUGUACAAGUUUGCACUCCCACCAGUAAUGGAGGAGUGUUCCCCUUGCUCUACAUCUUUGUCAGAAUAUGCUGUCACCUGAGUUUUUGAUCUUUGAUAUCUGACAGGUAUAAGAUAGAAUCUCAGAAUCAUUUUGAUUUGCAUUUUCCUGAUGACAAAGUUUGUUGAACAUUUCUUUAAGUGCUUCUUGGCCACCAGAGAUUCCUCUGUUGAGACUUCUCUGUUUAGCUCUGUUCCCCAUUUUUUAAAAUUGUGUCAUUGGUUUGUUGGUACAUAAUUUCUUGUGGCUAUUAGCCCUCUGUCAGAUGUAGGGUUGGUGAAGAUCUUUCCCCAUUCUGUAGGUUACUGUUCUGUUCUGUUGAGGGUGUCCUUAGCUUUGCAGAAGCUUUACAGUUUCAUGAGGUCCUGUUUAUUAAUUGUUGAUCUUAGUGCCUGAGCUUUUGGUGUUCUGUUCUGGAAGUUUUCCCCUGUGCCAAUAUGUUCAAGGCAUUUCCCCACUUUCUCUUCUAUUAGAAUUAGUGCAUCCAGUUUUAUGUUGAGGUCUUUGGACUUGAGUUUUGUGAAGGGUGGUAAAUAUGAAUCUAUUUUCAUUCUUCUAUAUGCAAACAUCCAAUUAGACUAACACUGUUUGUUGAAGGUAUUUUCUUUUUUCCACUAUAUGAUUUUGGCUUCUUUGUCAAAAAUCAAGUGUCCUUAGGUGUAUGAGUUUAUUUCUGGGUCUUCAAUUCUAUUCCACUGCUCAAUAUGUUUAUUCAAUGCCAGUACCAUGUGCCUUCAAUUUUCAUUGCUCUGUAGUACAGUUGGAAAUCAGGGAUGGUGAUACCUUCAGAAGUUCUUUUAUUGUCCAGGAUUGUUUUAGUGAUCCUGAGUCUUUUUUUUUUUUUUUUCAUAUGAAGUUGAGAAUUGCUCUAUCAACUCAAUGUCUACAAGAUCCCUGGGAAAUUUUUCUAUUGGUUGACAGUAGCUAAGAAAAAGGUUAAAUAAAGGGUGGACAUUUGAA